Molecule: ribosomal RNA, 108 nt
Filed under: Prolemur simus (greater bamboo lemur)
Lineage: Eukaryota; Metazoa; Chordata; Mammalia; Primates; Lemuridae
Source: RNAcentral
GUCUAUGGCCACACCACCCUGAACAUCUCUGAUCUAGCAAGCUAAGCAGGGUCAGGCCUGGUUAGUACUUGGAUGCCAGUACUUGUGUGCCAGUUAGUGGCACACACU